GUAAUGCUUAGGAAUCUGCCUAUUAGUGGGGGACAACAUCUCGAAAGGGAUGCUAAUACCGCAUACGUCCUACGGGAGAAAGCAGGGGACCUUCGGGCCUUGCGCUAAUAGAUGAGCCUAAGUCGGAUUAGCUAGUUGGUGGGGUAAAGGCCUACCAAGGCGACGAUCUGUAGCGGGUCUGAGAGGAUGAUCCGCCACACUGGGACUGAGACACGGCCCAGACUCCUACGGGAGGCAGCAGUGGGGAAUAUUGGACAAUGGGGGGAACCCUGAUCCAGCCAUGCCGCGUGUGUGAAGAAGGCCUUUUGGUUGUAAAGCACUUUAAGCGAGGAGGAGGCUACCGAGAUUAAUACUCUUGGAUAGUGGACGUUACUCGCAGAAUAAGCACCGGCUAACUCUGUGCCAGCAGCCGCGGUAAUACAGAGGGUGCAAGCGUUAAUCGGAUUUACUGGGCGUAAAGCGCGCGUAGGUGACCGAUUAAGUCAAAUGUGAAAUCCCCGAGCUUAACUUGGGAAUUGCAUUCGAUACUGGUUGGCUAGAGUAUGGGAGAGGAUGGUAGAAUUCCAGGUGUAGCGGUGAAAUGCGUAGAGAUCUGGAGGAAUACCGAUGGCGAAGGCAGCCAUCUGGCCUAAUACUGACACUGAGGUG
Molecule: ribosomal RNA, 648 nt
Filed under: uncultured bacterium
Lineage: Bacteria
Description: bacterial SSU rRNA
Rfam family: Bacterial small subunit ribosomal RNA
Source: RNAcentral